AGUGGGAGAAGGGGAAGGGAUUUGGAAGGGCUGUGUUCGAUCCUGGUAGACAGGCGGCAGCAGAAGGAGGUGAUCCUGCCAUGAUACACUGCUGAGCACUGUGACCGGUCCUGGGCCUCCAGUGCUACAGAGACAUGGGGAGAUGCCAUAAGUGAUGCUGUGAUGCUGCAGGUCCUGGAGCUCUGUGCUGGGAGGAGAGGCUGGGAGCUGUGGCUGCUCAAUGCAGAGACUCAGUGAGAUUCUGCCCGUGUCCAUAAAUCCCAUGGAGACUGGCUGCCCAAUGCUAGGACAGGAGGCAGUGGGCACAAACUAGCUUCAUCUGACCAUCAGGAAGCACUUCUGUGCUGGGCAGCUGCCAGAGCAUUGCCACAGGGACCCUACGAUUGUGGGUCUCUUCCUUGGGGAACUAAAGAAGCCACAUGGAUGUGGUGCUGGGUGUCCCUGCUGGAGCAAGGGUUUGAUCAGAUGGAUCCAGAGGUCCUUUCCAGCCUCAACCCAUCCGUGCUUUUGGGACUGUGUGUUUGCUUGCACUAAAGGUGGUUUAUAUUUUUAAGAGAUUAAGGGAAAGAGCUUCAAGCCCGUAGAGAGAUGUUAAUGUGUGAUUUAGGUGGGGCAGGAGAUUUCAUGGGGGAGCUGAGUGUUGGGGUUUGAGUUCCAUGCAAUACGUGUUAUGUGUGGUAGUUGAUAGUAGUAUGUCUGGACAUAAUUUGUGAUGGAAGGUUUUAUAUUCUCUUCCUUUUGUUUAUGAGCCUUUGUUUAUCAGCUCCUUACUGAUGUGUGUUUGCUUUCAGAGCCUUUCACGUAGAUUCCAAGUCCAGAAAUUAAAGCAGGAGUUUCUUCAGUGAGUUGGAUCUAAUCUUCCAUGGAGGAGCUUGCAUAACAGCUUUGUGCCAGUAGAAUUGCUGGGCUCUACCAGGUGUUAGUGAUUCAUGCUCCGGAAGAUUUGAUACGUGCUUAAUCAAAAAACACAAAGACGUUGUCAGAGUACAGGACCUGAGUUCAAAGGCCUGCCACGUAAAGUCCAGUGCGGAUACUUUGGGCAGCUAAUCAUACACAAACAGAAAGGGGCCAAAGGAGGAAAUGAGGUGAUGGGAGCUGUGCUGUUGGUCUUCUGGCACCUUGUCCUGAGUGAUGGCGUGUCCGAAGGGCAGAACUCCUGUGUGAUCUGAAUGUACCAGGUUGUCCUCAUGAAUACUCCAGUGGAGAAUGUCCAUGAUCUUCUUUGCUUGUGUGGUGCGGGUGAGAGAUGCUCUUCCCCUCUCAGCCUCCACAGACUUUCAUUUCAACCAGGACUUUCUGGAAUGCAGAAAGAAAUUGAAGGCAUUAUCCUCACUUCUGGCACGGUAUCCAAGUCGAGGCACAGCAAAAGGACGUGACCUGAGCAUACAGUGAGUUCCUACCUCAGCUG
Molecule: non-coding RNA, 1408 nt
Organism: Coturnix japonica (Japanese quail)
Lineage: Eukaryota; Metazoa; Chordata; Aves; Galliformes; Phasianidae
Source: RefSeq, a predicted model, not a curated record